AUUGAACGCUGGCGGCAGGCCUAACACAUGCAAGUCGAGCGAGCGGGGGGCGGGUGAGUAAUAUGUGGGGAAUGCGCGAGAGAGGGGGGUAACUACUGGAAACGGUAGCUAAUACCGCCUACUCUCGGAUACGCCCUAUGGGAUUAGCUAGUAGGUGGGGUAAUGGCUCACCUAGGCGACGAUCCCUAGCUGGUCUGAGAGGAUGAUCAGCCACACUGGAACUGAGACACGGUCCAGACUCCUACGGAGGCAGCAGUGGGGAAUAUUGCACAAGGGGCGCAAGCCUGAUGCAGCCAUGCCGCGUGUAUGAAGAAGGCCCUAGGGUUGUAAAGUACUUUCAGUCGGGAGGCGUUACCGACAGAAGAAGCACCGGCUAACUCCGUGCCAGCAGCCGCGGUAAUUC
This 403-nucleotide ribosomal RNA is filed under the name uncultured bacterium. RNAcentral's name for it is "partial 16S ribosomal RNA". It matches the Rfam family "Bacterial small subunit ribosomal RNA", at positions 30 to 526 of the family's 1533-position model. The record is from RNAcentral.